CGCCUGGUAGCGGGGGAGUAACUAUUGGAAACGAUAGCUAAUACCGCAUAAUAUUGAUUAUUGCAUGAUAAUUGAUUGAAAGAUGCUAUUGCAUCACUACCAGAUGGACCUGCGUUGUAUUAGCUAGUAGGUGAGGUAACGGCUCACCUAGGCGACGAUACAUAGCCGACCUGAGAGGGUGAUCGGCCACACUGGGACUGAGACACGGCCCAG
Molecule: ribosomal RNA, 213 nt
Filed under: uncultured bacterium
Lineage: Bacteria
Description: partial 16S ribosomal RNA
Rfam family: Bacterial small subunit ribosomal RNA
Source: RNAcentral